CAGCGACACUCACACACACGUCUCACAGAGAGCUCCAGCAGAGCUUAAGCACAGGUGCACUGUGGGACAUCUGCACCUCCCAAAUGAGCGCCUGAUACCGGAGUGGAGCUCACCUACAGCGCAGACGUGAGCAGCCAUGACCAAAUCCUACGAGUUCAACUGGCAGAAGAGCGUCCCCGCGUUCCUGCAGGGGGGGGCCUCCUUCCACAGGUUCGAGGAGGAUCCGUUUGUGUUCGAGCCCAACUGCCUGUUCAAGGUCGACGAGUUCGGCUUCUUCAUCACCUGGAAGAGCGAGGGGAAGGAGGGGCAGGUGCUGGAGUGCUCUCUGAUCAACAGCAUCCGCACUGGGGCCAUCCCCAAGG
This is a long non-coding RNA of Conger conger (European conger), 362 nucleotides long. RefSeq lists it as uncharacterized. The record is from RefSeq and is a predicted model, not a curated record. The transcript has 4 exons. NCBI's taxonomy places the organism in Eukaryota, Metazoa, Chordata, Actinopteri, Anguilliformes, Congridae.